RNAcentral lists this ribosomal RNA (429 nucleotides) under Pseudomonadota bacterium. RNAcentral describes it as "Proteobacteria bacterium partial 16S ribosomal RNA". It matches the Rfam family "Bacterial small subunit ribosomal RNA", at positions 355 to 776 of the family's 1533-position model. Lineage: Bacteria; Pseudomonadati; Pseudomonadota. The record is from RNAcentral.
UGGGGAAUAUUGGACAAUGGGCGAAAGCCUGAUCCAGCCAUGCCGCGUGUGUGAAGAAGGUCUUCGGAUUGUAAAGCACUUUAAGUCGGGAGGAAGGGCAGUAAGCGAAUACCUUGCUGUUUUGACGUUACCGACAGAAUAAGCACCGGCUAACUCUGUGCCAGCAGCCGCGGUAAUACAGAGGGUGCAAGCGUUAAUCGGAAUUACUGGGCGUAAAGCGCGCGUAGGUGGUUCGUUAAGUUGAAUGUGAAAGCCCCGGGCUCAACCUGGGAACUGCAUCCAAAACGUGCGAGCUGGAGUAGGGCAGAGGGUGGUGGAAUUUCCUGUGUAGCGGUGAAAUGCGUAGAUAUAGGAAGGCACACCAGUGGCGAAGGCGAGCACCUGGGCUCAUACUGACACUGAGGUGCGAAAGCGUGGGGAGCAAACAGG